This 440-nucleotide ribosomal RNA is filed under the name uncultured bacterium. RNAcentral's name for it is "partial 16S ribosomal RNA". It matches the Rfam family "Bacterial small subunit ribosomal RNA", at positions 338 to 795 of the family's 1533-position model. The record is from RNAcentral.
CCUACGGGAGGCAGCAGUGGGGAAUAUUGCACAAUGGGGGAAACCCUGAUGAAGCGACGCCGCGGGAGUGAAGAAGUAAUUCGGGAUGUAAAGCUCUAUAAGCAGGGAAGAAAAUGACGGUACAUGAGUAAGAAGCGCCGGCUAACUAUGUGCCAGCAGCCGCGGUAAUACCUAGGGGGCAAGCGUUAUACGGAUUUACUGGGUGGAAAGGGAGCGUAGACGGCAGGGCGAGUCCGGAGUGAAAGGCGGGGGCUCAACCCCCGGACUGCUCUGGAAACUGUACGGAUGGAGUGCAGGAGAGGUAAGUGGAAUUACUAGUGUAGGAGUGAAAUCCGUAGAUAUCUGGAGGAACAUCAGUGGCGAAGGCGGCCUGCUGGACGACAACUGACGGUGAGGCGCGAAAGCGUGGGGAGCAAACAGGAUUAGAUACCCCAGUAGUC